RNAcentral lists this ribosomal RNA (555 nucleotides) under Colletotrichum gloeosporioides. Its description in RNAcentral is "eukaryotic LSU rRNA". The stretch from base 192 to 345 matches the Rfam family "5.8S ribosomal RNA". The record is from RNAcentral. Lineage: Eukaryota; Fungi; Ascomycota; Sordariomycetes; Glomerellales; Glomerellaceae.
ACCUGCGGAGGGAUCAUUACUGAGUUUACGCUCUACAACCCUUUGUGAACAUACCUAUAACUGUUGCUUCGGCGGGUAGGGUCUCCGUGACCCUCCCGGCCUCCCGCCCCCGGGCGGGUCGGCGCCCGCCGGAGGAUAACCAAACUCUGAUUUAACGACGUUUCUUCUGAGUGGUACAAGCAAAUAAUCAAAACUUUUAACAACGGAUCUCUUGGUUCUGGCAUCGAUGAAGAACGCAGCGAAAUGCGAUAAGUAAUGUGAAUUGCAGAAUUCAGUGAAUCAUCGAAUCUUUGAACGCACAUUGCGCCCGCCAGCAUUCUGGCGGGCAUGCCUGUUCGAGCGUCAUUUCAACCCUCAAGCUCUGCUUGGUGUUGGGGCCCUACAGCUGAUGUAGGCCCUCAAAGGUAGUGGCGGACCCUCCCGGAGCCUCCUUUGCGUAGUAACUUUACGUCUCGCACUGGGAUCCGGAGGGACUCUUGCCGUAAAACCCCCAAUUCUCCAAAGGUUGACCUCGGAUCAGGUAGGAAUACCCGCUGAACUUAAGCAUAUCAAUAG